CUCACAGUUGGCUUGAUGGGAGUCAAGGAUCUAACAGAGUUGUGUAAGACAUUCAAAUAAGACAUAUCACACUACUUGGGAACACAAGCAAAACAACGGUUUAAUGGUUUUGGAACCAUUAAAGCAGCUGGAUCUUUAGCAAGGCUUGUGCAGUAGCUUCAGAAUUUCUGUCAAGAAUCUCCAUAUAUAUGUUGAACAUGCACUAUAUAUUUAGGUGCUCUUAACCUUAUUCCAUCAUUGUACCCUUUUCUUUUCUCCCAUGUUCUUCAGGAGAAAAACUAACCAGAUAUCCAAAUGAGAGGACCACUGCUUUCUAAUGUGCAGGAGUAGAUAGUGUAUCUGAACAUAGAAGUGGCUUGCUUAUGGAGUCACUGUGAUCAUUUAAAAGAUCCGAAAAGAGAGGAAGAACACACUGUUAUUAAUCCUCAAAACAAAGCAGCAAGAGUGAAUGCAAAAACCACUGGAAGAUUAGUUUGUUAAAUGUGCCUAGAACAUGUUUAGCAAAAUUCUCAUUGCAUGCAUACGAGAGAUGACACUGGGCAAGAUUUCGGAACUGCAGUGUGGUCUUAGGUGGGCAGAGGAUGUGCAGAACAUAUUUUUAUUCUUUGGCAGAAAAAUAUAAAUUCAAACUCUUUUACCACUGAUGGAUCUUUAAUGAUUUAUGGUAACAGUAGGUCAUGUUCCAAAAGUCAUCAUCAUUGUUGUCAUCACAUUAUCAUCACCAUCUUCAUCUCAUAAUAUAUAUCAAGAGAAAAAGGCUAAAGCUUCUAUAUAGGAAAUCAGAGGUGGAGAUGAUAAUGUCUCUGUAGCAAACACACUGCCCUGGAGUUGUAUUCCAAAUC
This is a non-coding RNA of Pantherophis guttatus, 842 nucleotides long. NCBI's taxonomy places the organism in Eukaryota, Metazoa, Chordata, Lepidosauria, Squamata, Colubridae. The record is from RefSeq and is a predicted model, not a curated record.